Molecule: ribosomal RNA, 321 nt
Filed under: Exiguobacterium sp.
Lineage: Bacteria; Bacillati; Bacillota; Bacilli; Caryophanales
Description: bacterial SSU rRNA
Rfam family: Bacterial small subunit ribosomal RNA
Source: RNAcentral
UGGGCGUAAGCGCGCGCAGGCGGCCUUUUAAGUCUGAUGUGAAAGCCCCCGGCUCAACCGGGGAGGGUCAUUGGAAACUGGAAGGCUUGAGUACAGAAGAGAAGAAUGGAAUUCCAUGUGUAGCGGUGAAAUGCGUAGAGAUGUGGAGGAACACCAGUGGCGAAGGCGACUCUUUGGUCUGUAACUGACGCUGAGGCGCGAAAGCGUGGGGAGCAAACAGGAUUAGAUACCCUGGUAGUCCACGCCGUAAACGAUGAGUGCUAGGUGUUGGGGGGUUUCCGCCCCUCAGUGCUGAAGCUAACGCAUUAAGCACUCCGCCUG